UAGGGAAUCUUCCGCAAUGGACGCAAGUCUGACGGAGCAACGCCGCGUGAGUGAAGAAGGUUUUCGGAUCGUAAAACUCUGUUGUUAGAGAAGAACAAGUGCUAGAGUAACUGUUAGCGCCUUGACGGUAUCUAACCAGAAAGCCACGGCUAACUACGUGCCAGCAGCCGUGGUAAUACGUAGGUGGCAAGCGUUGUCCGGAUUUAUUGGGCGUAAAGCGAGCGCAGGCGGUUCCUUAAGUCUGAUGUGAAAGCCCCCGGCUCAACCGGGGAGGGUCAUUGGAAACUGGGGAACUUGAGUGCAGAAGAGGAGAGUGGAAUUCCAUGUGUAGCGGUGAAAUGCGUAGAUAUAUGGAGGAACACCAGUGGCGAAGGCGACUCUCUGGUCUGUAACUGACGCUGAGGCUCGAAAGCGUGGGUAGCAAACAGGAUUAGAUACCCUGGUAGUCCACGCCGUAAACGAUGAGUGCUAAGUGUUGGAGGGUUUCCGCCCUUCAGUGCUGCAGUUAACGCAUUAAGCACUCCGCCUGGGGAGUACGACCGCAAGGUUG
RNAcentral lists this ribosomal RNA (550 nucleotides) under uncultured bacterium. Its description in RNAcentral is "bacterial SSU rRNA". It matches the Rfam family "Bacterial small subunit ribosomal RNA", at positions 355 to 896 of the family's 1533-position model. The record is from RNAcentral.